Molecule: long non-coding RNA, 300 nt
Filed under: Vigna radiata
Lineage: Eukaryota; Viridiplantae; Streptophyta; Magnoliopsida; Fabales; Fabaceae
Description: long non-coding RNA (VRAD_LNC010292)
Source: RNAcentral
AGAAAUUCUGCCAAAUUUUGCAGCUUUCCUUUUCUAAGUUCACUAGGAUAGGUGUUUUCUUGAUGUCUCCUGACCUUUUCUUGAUGGUUGGCCCAAACUCCUUCAAGAUACACUUUCAAACCACUCUCUCAACACAUUCUCCUUCAUCUUUACAUGCUUAUGCAUCAAACACCUCAUCUCCAUGGAGUCUCCUUCAACUUGUGUGAAGAGGGUUUCCAUCAUUUGCACAAACUCAUUUCCUUCAUAUAGGUCAUGUCUCAUCCUUUAGGUUAUGAUUCCACCAUGGUGUCAAGUUUGCAG